This 1336-nucleotide ribosomal RNA is filed under the name Rhagoletis cornivora. RNAcentral's name for it is "16S ribosomal RNA". The stretch from base 1085 to 1244 matches the Rfam family "Archaeal large subunit ribosomal RNA", at positions 2544 to 2703 of the family's 2987-position model. Lineage: Eukaryota; Metazoa; Arthropoda; Insecta; Diptera; Tephritidae. The record is from RNAcentral.
UUAGAAUUUAUUUAUUAAUUUAUGUUUAUUUUGUUUAUAAUUUAUUAAAAAUAAUUAUAUAAUUUAAUGUUUUAGUAGUUUGUAAUGAAAAAAUAAUAUUAAUGAUAGUUUAUUAAGUAUUGUGAAAGAUAAUUGAAAUAAUUUGAAAAAUGAUUAUUUAAAAAGAAAAUUUUAUUUAUUGUACCUUGUGUAUCAGGGUUUAUCAAAUAAUUAAUAAUUAUUUUAUUAAUCUCGAUUUUAUAAGAGUUAGUUAUUUAUUAAAGUUAAUGUGUCAAAAUUAUUUUAAAUAGAUGAUUAGAAAUGAAAUGUUAUUCGUUUAUAAAGGUAUCUAGUUUUUUUAGAAAUAAAUUUAAUUUACAAAUUUUUAAUUUUUUGUUUAUUUAUUUAAAUAAAAGAGUUAUUAAUUUGAAUAUUUUAAGGGAUAAGCUUUAAAAUAAAUUAUUAAAAAUUAGUAAUUUUAAUAUAAAAUGUAUGAAUAGAAUUUUCAAUCAUUUAUAAAUUUGUUAUAAAUUAUUUUAUAAUUUUUAUUAUUUACUGUUAUUUUAAGUUUUUAUAAAAAUUUUUUCGUGAAUUUUUUAUGAGAAUUAAUAAUGAUAAAAUUAGUAUAUUUUAUAUAAUGUAUAUAUAUAAUUUUAUUUGAUAAGUUUAUAUAAAGAACUCGGCAAAUUUAUAUACUCGCCUGUUUAACAAAAACAUGUCUUUUUGAGUUAUUUUUAAAGUCUGACCUGCCCACUGAAUAAUUUUGAAUGGCCGCAGUAUUCUAACUGUGCAAAGGUAGCAUAAUCAUUAGUCUUUUAAUUGAAGGCUGGUAUGAAUGGUUGGACGAAGUAUAAUCUGUUUCAUAUAAAUUUAUUAUAGAAUUUUAUAUUUUAGUUAAAAAGCUAAAAUUUAAUUAAAAGACGAGAAGACCCUAUAAAUCUUUAUAUUUAAUAUUAUUUUAAUUUUUUAGAUUAAUUUUAUUUUAAUACUAUUAAUUAUUUUGUUGGGGUGAUGUUAAAAUUUAAUAAACUUUUAAUUAUUAAAAAUCAUUAAUUUAUGAUUUAUUGAUCCGUUAAUAACGAUUAUAAGAUUAAGUUACUUUAGGGAUAACAGCGUAAUUUUUUUGGAGAGUUCUUAUCGAUAAAAAAGUUUGCGACCUCGAUGUUGGAUUAAGAUAUAUUUUUAGGUGUAGUCGCUUAAAUAUUAAGUCUGUUCGACUUUUAAAUUCUUACAUGAUCUGAGUUCAGACCGGCGUAAGCCAGGUUGGUUUCUAUCUUUAAUUUGUUAUAAUAUCUUAGUACGAAAGGACCAGGUAUUAGAAUAAUUAUAUUUUAAUUUAUAGAUUAAUAUUAAUUGA